GCCAGGCUGGCUCAGUCGGUUGAGCAUCUGAUUUCAGCUCAGGUCAUGAUCUCAGGGUCCAUGAGUUUGAGUCCCGUGUCAGGCU
RNAcentral lists this transfer RNA (85 nucleotides) under Felis catus (domestic cat). It matches the Rfam family "tRNA". Rfam says of the family: Transfer RNA (tRNA) molecules are approximately 80 nucleotides in length. Their secondary structure includes four short double-helical elements and three loops (D, anti-codon, and T loops). The record is from Rfam by way of RNAcentral. Lineage: Eukaryota; Metazoa; Chordata; Mammalia; Carnivora; Felidae. RNAcentral also lists the same sequence under 3 other names.